UACGGGGGGGGCAAGCGUUGUUCGGAAUUACUGGGCGUAAAGGGCUCGUAGGCGGCCAACUAAGUCAGACGUGAAAUCCCUCGGCUUAACCGGGGAACUGCGUCUGAUACUGGAUGGCUUGAGUUUGGGAGAGGGAUGCGGAAUUCCAGGUGUAGCGGUGAAAUGCGUAGAUAUCAGGAGGAAUACCGGUGGCGAAAGCGACUCUCUGGACGGCAACUGACGCUGAGGCACGAAAGCGUGGGGAGCAAACAGG
RNAcentral lists this ribosomal RNA (253 nucleotides) under uncultured bacterium. RNAcentral describes it as "partial 16S ribosomal RNA". It matches the Rfam family "Bacterial small subunit ribosomal RNA", at positions 524 to 776 of the family's 1533-position model. The record is from RNAcentral.